Molecule: unclassified non-coding RNA, 337 nt
Filed under: soil metagenome
Description: partial contains 5.8S ribosomal RNA, internal transcribed spacer 2, and large subunit ribosomal RNA
Rfam family: 5.8S ribosomal RNA (bases 1-120)
Source: RNAcentral
GAUGAAGAACGCAGCGAAAUGCGAUAAGUAGUGUGAAUUGCAGAAUUCAGUGAAUCAUCGAAUCUUUGAACGCACACUGCGCCCCUUGGUAUUCCAUGGGGCAUGCCUGUUCGAGCGUCAUUUGUACCUUCAAGCUCUGCUUGGUGUUGGGUGUUUGUCUCGCCUCUGCGUGUAGACUCGCCUCAAAACAAUUGGCAGCCGGCGUAUUGAUUUCGGAGCGCAGUACAUCUCGCGCUUUGCACUCAUAACGACGACGUCCAAAAGUACAUUUUUACACUCUUGACCUCGGAUCAGGUAGGGAUACCCGCUGAACUUAAGCAUAUCAAUAAGCGGAGGA